AUAAAAUUAAAUCAAAAUUAGCCAAUAAUCUAAGAAUUCGUUUCUUAUUUAAGACUUUUAAGAAUCGUUUUUUAAGAGCCAGGUGUCUAUUCGUGAUUGGCUAGAUUUAUUGAAAAGGAAAAUAACUUCUCUCUUCUACGCGACUCUCUCUCGACGCUUCUCUUCGCUCACUCCGUCGCCGAUUCGGUCGCCAACCUCCGUCGCCAACCUCCGCCGCCGAUUCGGUUCGAUUAGGUGCUUCUCUUCGCUCUCUCCGAUUGUGAACUGCCUUCAAGCUCAAGAACUAUUGGCGAGAGAGAGCUUGGUGAUAGCUCUUCUGUUAUCCCUACUCAGAGCAAACUGAAUUCACUAACUGUCAUUGAUCAGGAGAGAGCAAGGAAAGCUGCUAUUGCAGGUACGCAUCAUCUGCUAGCAUGAGCAUCAACACACAUUAUCAUGACUCCGAGUCAGCCGUGGAAGCUCGGAGAAGACUCUGUAUCUAUGGGAAGAAGACUGUGUAUCUAUGGCUUCUGCCGUUCCAUUGAGAUGCUUAGUGAUGUUGUUGAAGACACUGUCUUAGAACAUGGUGAUUGGUGGAGAGGUCGUUGCUACAGAGAAAGAGAUCAAAGGUGGUUUACAAGAGAAGCUAACAAUGACGGUGGCCGGUUCCAUAUCUCUGGGGUGUUCCUCCGGCUGCAGAAAGGCUUCACCGUGCGGUUCGAACUGGCGGAGGCAUCGUUGACAAAGUUUAUUGGCAAUGGUUUUUCUUGUGAUUCUUGAAAUUUCUCCAAUAAUAAUGGGUUCUUCUAUUGUAUAUAAAAAAUAUCAUUGUACAAAACCAUUACAUUUGGUAUAUAAAUGCCACUAAA
Molecule: long non-coding RNA, 848 nt
Organism: Eutrema salsugineum
Lineage: Eukaryota; Viridiplantae; Streptophyta; Magnoliopsida; Brassicales; Brassicaceae
Exons: 3
Source: RefSeq, a predicted model, not a curated record